GGGGAGCCGGGCGGGGCUCGGAGCCCCGGGGAGCCCGGGAGCCGCCAGCGGGCGAUGGGAAGCAAGAGUAAUUUCAAGGCAGGCCCAGCAAUGACAACUUAGAAAUGGGACAAGAUGUCUCAGGGUCCUCAAGGGAACUAUGCACCAAAAAAAGAGAUUGGAAUAGAAACGAAAGGAUCAUUUUAUUCAUAGCUGAGCCAGCACCCAAUAACCUCUGGAACAGAACUCUGCCAAAAGACUGAGUUGCAUCAUGUGGCUUAGGUUUAAGGCUGAAGUGAAGCUUCCUCAUUCCCUGCUCUCCCUCCACCUUCCAAAUUUGGGGACCAGCAUGCAUAGGCGAGCCUGCAGAAAGAGAGGAGGAGAUGAUCAGAUCUGCAAAGCAGACCAGCUUUACUCAUCUAAAGCUGGGCUGGCCUACUCGGCAGGAAUUCGGGAGCAGAAGCAGCACACAUAGCUGUGGGAUCUUUCAACACAGAAGGACCCCAACACUGAUGUUCUCUCUCUGCCCAGCCCUUUCAGAUGAGAUGUCCACACCCUAACCCCUGGAACCAGCAAAUAUGUUAUAUUACCAGGCAAGGGAGAAUUGAGAUUGAAGAUGAAAACGAAGUUGCUAAUCAGCUGACCUCAAAAUGGGGAGAUUAUCCUGAUGGGCCCAGUGUAAUCACAAGGGUCCUCAGAAGUGAAAGAGGGAAGCAAGACACUCAAUGCCAGAGUGGGGCAGCAUGAGAAAGGCUUGACGAGUCAUUGCUGGCUUUGAAGAUGGAAGGGGAUCAUGAGCCAAAGAAUGCUGGCAGCCUCUCACAGCUGGAAAAGGUGAGGAAAUGGACUCUCUCCUGGAGCCUCCAGAGGAAUGCAGCCCUGCGACACCUCGAUUUUAGCCCAGCGGGAUCCAUUUCAGAUGUCUGACCUGCAGAACUCUAAGAUAAGAAAAAUUGUGUUGUUUUGAGCCACUCAGUUUGUGAUACUUUGUUACAGCAGCACUAAGAAAGUAACACAAAAGGUGAAUAAAGCCAGUUAGGAGAAAACAGGUUUUGAGGGAAGAAAGCUCAUGGCUUUGCUUGUUCUGAGCUGAGGGGCUGGUGGCAUCUGUGAAAGGGCCAGAAGGCCAUUGGAAACGUGAGUUUGGAUUUCAGAAAAGAGGCUGGGGUUUGGGAUCCUGGAAUCAUUUCCUAGAGGAGAUACUUGACAUCUGGAGCAUGGGUGAGAAGGCUUAGGGGGAAAGUUUAGAGCGGUGCUGUCCAAUAGGAUAUGAUACAAGCCAUGAGUGUGAGCCACUCUUGUAACUAAAUUUUUCAGUAACCACAAUAAAAACAUUAAAAAAGAAACAGAGGAAGUUAAAUUUUAAUAAUAUAUUUUAUUGUACCGUACAUAUCCAAAUUAUUAUCAUUUCAACAUGUAAUCAGCAAAUUAUUAAUGAGAUAUUUUACAUUCUUUUUUUUUUGGUAUGUGCAUUUUAAAUCUGCUGUGCAUUUUAUACUCAGCUCAGCACAUCUAUAAAUACUUUCAAGGGCUCUAUAACCAUCACGUGGCUGGUGGCUACUGUAUCAGACUGUGCAGUUUAGAGAAAGAGCAGACACAAAGUGUGGAGCCUUGAGAGACAUCUGUAUUUAGAAGACAGGAGGAGAAAAGGAGCCAGUGAAGGAAUAGAGCAAGGUAGGAGGAGAUGCAGGAUGGUGCAAUGUUUCAAAAUCCAAAGGAUUUGUAUUUAGGAAAACAUGGAGCAGGGAAGCAUCACAUGCUCUCUUUCUUCAAUGCUCUGGUUCAUUCAGCUCUUACAUUCUAGAGGUGUUCUCCCUGGCUGUAGUGAAGCUCUACACUACAGAGUCACUUUCUUUGCUCUGGCUUUCAUAUUCUCAUAUACACAGCAAGCCAUAAUUUUUGUGGCCCAGGUAUAGGUGGCUGGGAAUAACAGGGUGACUAGGGGAAAGAAGAAAGGAGCACUGAGGUGGUACAAGGUUGCUGAAGGAUGUGAUGAUUUGGAACAGGUGCCUGGUGGGAGUAAGAUGGAGAUCACGUUACCAUGACAACUGAUUAUUUCAUUGGUCCAAUGACCAGUUGCCAUGGUGAUGAAAUCUUUGUGUCAUUGUGACAUGGAUCCCAAGGGAGAGUACGCUUGUGCAAAGGACCCUUUGCUCAUUGGUAAAGCUUUUAUAUUUGCAAUAAUUUUUGCAUUGCUUGAUGAAACCUCCCCCAGGAACUUCAAUCAACAUUGAGGUUCCCUUCCUCCUUCCUGUGCACUUAUAGCAAUCACUGCUUGCAAAAUGCACACACUUUCAUCAUUCAUCUUCUAUAUAGUGUUUGUUAAUCUGAUAGUAUUUAAUUGUUUUAGUAAUUUAUCGCUUUCUCCUACACAGAUAUAAUCCUGUUGAAGGCAGGGAUCAUUCUUAUAAUUCAGUUGUGUUUUCAGAGGACUAGGGGUUAGUGGAAAAAAAGCAGAUCCUUGGGAGCAAGACAGAUCUGUGUUUACAUACCACCUCCGCUUCUGCCAUUUGCCAAUUGUGUGGCCCUAGGAAAGUAAUUUUAUCUUCUUGAGAUUUAGUUUUCUUCUGUAAAAUGAGGAUAAUAAAACUUACACUGUGGGUUUGCUGUGAUGAUUACAGAUAACCUUAAUAAAGUAGCUGGCUUACAGUAGUGACUCAAUAAAUGGUUCCAACUAGUAUAACAUGGUACCCAGCCCAGUCCUGGAUGCCAGGAUUACCUCUUAAUAAUACUUUAUGAAUAAUAAGAUAGUGAUGACAGAUUAUAGGAUAACAGUAGGACUAGAUUUAAUCUUCGGUGUGGCUAAAGAUCAGUUGUCCUAUGGUGGUCCGACUAUACAUCAGCUGCAAUGCUGAACUUGCAAUCUAACUUAUGCUAACUUCUUGGGAGGAAAAUUUUUUUUUUAAAGAUUUUAUUUUUUCCUUUUUCUCCCAAAGCCCCCCAGUACAUAGUUGUGUAUUUUCAGUUGUGGGUCCUUCUGG
Molecule: non-coding RNA, 2960 nt
Organism: Equus caballus (horse)
Lineage: Eukaryota; Metazoa; Chordata; Mammalia; Perissodactyla; Equidae
Source: RefSeq, a predicted model, not a curated record